This 224-nucleotide long non-coding RNA is filed under the name Manihot esculenta (cassava). RNAcentral's name for it is "long non-coding RNA (MESC_LNC002010)". The record is from RNAcentral. Lineage: Eukaryota; Viridiplantae; Streptophyta; Magnoliopsida; Malpighiales; Euphorbiaceae.
AGAAGUUGAUCUCUAGAAAUCAUUGCCACCACCAACGGCGGCAACUGCCUGAUCAGUAAAUUACAUCUCUUAGAAUAAUAAUUUAAGCAAAAUAGAUUAGAUAGGAGGAUCUGCCUUUCAAGCAUGAUCAUCUCGGACAAUGAGGAUGAUUUCCUGGCCCAGUUCCUCGAACUAGAGGUUCUCCCCGAAGCAUCAGAUCUAGUAUUUUGCAAAAUCUCUUUGAU